UGCCAGCCGCCGCGGUAAUACGAAGGGUGCUAGCGUUGUUCGGAAUUAUUGGGUUUAAAGGGUGCGCAGGCGGAGAAUUAAGUCAGUGGUGAAAUCCUGCAGCUUAACUGUAGAACUGCCAUUGAUACUGAUUUUCUUGAAUUCAUAUGAGGUAGGCGGAAUGUGUAAUGUAGCGGUGAAAUGCUUAGAUAUUACACAGAACACCGAUUGCGAAGGCAGCUUACUAAAUUGACAUUGACGCUGAGGCACGAAAGCGUGGGGAGCGAACAGGAUUUGAUA
Molecule: ribosomal RNA, 279 nt
Filed under: uncultured bacterium
Lineage: Bacteria
Description: partial 16S ribosomal RNA
Rfam family: Bacterial small subunit ribosomal RNA
Source: RNAcentral